GAUGAACGCUGGCGGCGUGCCUAAUACAUGCAAGUCGAGCGAACAGACGAGGAGCUUGCUCCUCUGACGUUAGCGGCGGACGGGUGAGUAACACGUGGAUAACCUACCUAUAAGACUGGGAUAACUUCGGGAAACCGGAGCUAAUACCGGAUAAUAUAUUGAACCGCAUGGUUCAAUAGUGAAAGGCGGUUUUGCUGUCACUUAUAGAUGGAUCCGCGCCGCAUUAGCUAGUUGGUAAGGUAACGGCUUACCAAGGCGACGAUGCGUAGCCGACCUGAGAGGGUGAUCGGCCACACUGGAACUGAGACACGGUCCAGACUCCUACGGGAGGCAGCAGUAGGGAAUCUUCCGAGAUGGGCGAAAGCCUGACGGAGCAACGCCGCGUGAGUGAUGAAGGUCUUCGGAUCGUAAAACUCUGUUAUUAGGGAAGAACAAAUGUGUAAGUAACUAUGCACGUCUUGACGGUACCUAAUCAGAAAGCCACGGCUAACUACGUG
Molecule: ribosomal RNA, 497 nt
Filed under: uncultured bacterium
Lineage: Bacteria
Description: partial 16S ribosomal RNA
Rfam family: Bacterial small subunit ribosomal RNA
Source: RNAcentral